GCUUGCUGUGGGUGGAUGAGUGGCGAACGGGUGAGUAACACGUGAGUAACCUGCCCCCGAUUUCGGGAUAAGCCCGGGAAACUGGGUCUAAUACCGGAUAUGACCAGAGGACGCAUGUUCUCUGGUGGAAAGUUUUUCGAUCGGGGAUGGGCUCGCGGCCUAUCAGCUUGUUGGUGGGGUAAUGGCCUACCAAGGCGACGACGGGUAGCCGGCCUGAGAGGGCGACCGGCCACACUGGGACUGAGACACGGCCCAGACUCCUACGGGAGGCAGCAGUGGGGAAUAUUGCACAAUGGGGGAAACCCUGAUGCAGCGACGCAGCGUGCGGGAUGACGGCCUUCGGGUUGUAAACCGCUUUCAGCAGGGAAGAAGCGAAAGUGACGGUACCUGCAGAAGAAGUACCGGCUAACUACGUGCCAGCAGCCGCGGUAAUACGUAGGGUACGAGCGUUGUCCGGAAUUAUUGGGCGUAAAGAGCUCGUAGGUGGUUGGUCACGUCUGCUGUGGAAACGCAACGCUUAACGUUGCGCGGGCAGUGGGUACGGGCUGACUAGAGUGCAGUAGGGGAGUCUGGAAUUCCUGGUGUAGCGGUGAAAUGCGCAGAUAUCAGGAGGAACACCGGUGGCGAAGGCGGGACUCUGGGCUGUAACUGACACUGAGGAGCGAAAGCAUGGGGAGCGAACAGGAUUAGAUACCCUGGUAGUCCAUGCCGUAAACGUUGGGCACUAGGGUGUGGGGGACAUUCCACGUUCUCCGCGCCGUAGCUAACGCAUUAAGUGGCCCGCCUGGGGGAGUACGG
RNAcentral lists this ribosomal RNA (798 nucleotides) under Brevibacterium anseongense. RNAcentral describes it as "bacterial SSU rRNA". It matches the Rfam family "Bacterial small subunit ribosomal RNA", at positions 78 to 885 of the family's 1533-position model. The record is from RNAcentral. Lineage: Bacteria; Bacillati; Actinomycetota; Actinomycetes; Micrococcales; Brevibacteriaceae.